This 469-nucleotide ribosomal RNA is filed under the name uncultured soil bacterium. RNAcentral's name for it is "bacterial SSU rRNA". It matches the Rfam family "Bacterial small subunit ribosomal RNA", at positions 59 to 519 of the family's 1533-position model. The record is from RNAcentral.
CAGUCGAGGGGCAGCAUGGGUGUAGCAAUACAUCUGAUGGCGACCGGCAAACGGGUGCGGAACACGUACAGAACCUUCCUUCGAGCGGGGAAUAGCCCAGAGAAAUUUGGAUUAAUACCCCAUAGUAUAACGGAGUGGCAUCACUUUGUUACUAAAGAUUUAUCACUUGAAGAUGGCUGUGCGGCUGAUUAGAUAGUUGGCGAGGUAACGGCCCACCAAGUCUGCGAUCAGUAACUGGUGUGAGAGCACGACCAGUCACACGGGCACUGAGACACGGGCCCGACUCCUACGGGAGGCAGCAGUAAGGAAUAUUGGUCAAUGGACGAAAGUCUGAACCAGCCAUGCCGCAUGGAGGAUGAAGGCCCUCUGGGUUGUAAACUUCUUUUAUAUGGGACGAAAAAGGGUCUUUCUAGAUCAACUGACGGUACCAUGUGAAUAAGCACCGGCUAACUCCGUGCCAGCAGCCGCG